Molecule: non-coding RNA, 150 nt
Organism: Caenorhabditis elegans
Lineage: Eukaryota; Metazoa; Nematoda; Chromadorea; Rhabditida; Rhabditidae
Source: Ensembl
AUUAAAUGUUUUAUAUUGAACACUGUUUCAACGGAGUUAUAAUUAUUUUCUACAACUUCUCUGUUAAUGAAACUAUUUCAGCUGCAUGUAUAAUACAUUGAAUUUACCAGUUUUAAUACUUCCACAACAAUAGUAUCAAUUUAAAAUAAU